This 835-nucleotide ribosomal RNA is filed under the name Rhytidhysteron yunnanense. RNAcentral describes it as "Rhytidhysteron sp. TD-2022d partial large subunit ribosomal RNA". It matches the Rfam family "Eukaryotic large subunit ribosomal RNA", at positions 67 to 921 of the family's 3401-position model. Lineage: Eukaryota; Fungi; Ascomycota; Dothideomycetes; Hysteriales; Hysteriaceae. The record is from RNAcentral.
AACAGGGAUUGCCUUAGUAACGGCGAGUGAAGCGGCAACAGCUCAAAUUUGAAAUCUGGCUCCCUUGGGGGCCCGAGUUGUAAUUUGUAGAGGAUGUUUCGGCGUGGGCCCCGGUCUAAGUUCCUUGGAACAGGACGUCACAGAGGGUGAGAAUCCCGUACGUGGCCGUGGGUGCUCGCCAUGUGAAGCUCCUUCGACGAGUCGAGUUGUUUGGGAAUGCAGCUCUAAAUGGGAGGUAAAUUUCUUCUAAAGCUAAAUACUGGCCAGAGACCGAUAGCGCACAAGUAGAGUGAUCGAAAGAUGAAAAGCACUUUGGAAAGAGAGUCAAAAAGUACGUGAAAUUGUUGAAAGGGAAGCGCUUGCAACCAGACCUGCCUGCGGUUGCUCAUCCGGGCUCUUGCCCGGUGCACUCUUCCGCAGUCAGGCCAGCAUCAGCUCUGGCGGUCGGAUAAAGGCGGCGGGAAUGUGGCUCCCCUCGGGGAGUGUUAUAGCCCGCCGUGCAAUGCGGCCAGCCGGGACUGAGGUCCGCGCUUCGGCUAGGAUGCUGGCGUAAUGGUUGUAAGCGGCCCGUCUUGAAACACGGACCAAGGAGUCUAACAUCUGUGCGAGUGUUUGGGUGUCAAGCCCAGGCGCGUAAUGAAAGUGAACGGAGGCGGGAACCUUCGGGUGCACCGUCGACCGAUCCUGAUGUCUUCGGAUGGAUUUGAGUAAGAGCAUAGCUGUUGGGACCCGAAAGAUGGUGAACUAUGCCUGAAUAGGGUGAAGCCAGAGGAAACUCUGGUGGAGGCUCGCAGCGGUUCUGACGUGCAAAUCGAUCGUCAAAUUUGGGCAUAGG